UUCAGUGGGAUGCAUGGUGGCAGCGACGAACUUCGACGGUGGCGCGUGGGCUUCCGACGGUGAUUUCGGGCGAACUUCCUUCGGGCAGUUUGCUCAUUUCAAUCCCCUGAACGCAUCGACACUGUUUAUUUUCUGUUUCAGGUUAUACAGAAAAAGUUGGACAAUUUUGCCACUGAAUUACUUUAGGCCAAAAUUGCGGCCAUAAAACAGUAGAUUUGCAUCUCUCUCGAUUAUACAGACUCAGACACAUUCGCU
RNAcentral lists this long non-coding RNA (255 nucleotides) under Olea europaea (common olive). RNAcentral describes it as "long non-coding RNA (OEUR_LNC005905)". The record is from RNAcentral. Lineage: Eukaryota; Viridiplantae; Streptophyta; Magnoliopsida; Lamiales; Oleaceae.